This is a long non-coding RNA of Oncorhynchus tshawytscha (Chinook salmon), 385 nucleotides long. Lineage: Eukaryota; Metazoa; Chordata; Actinopteri; Salmoniformes; Salmonidae. The record is from Ensembl.
GCUAGGGUUAGCUUUAGGUUUAAGAGCUAGGGUUAGUUUUAGGGUUAGGAGCCAGGGUUAGGUGCUAGGGUUAAGAACUAGGUUUAGGGUUAAGAGCUAGGGUUAGUUUUAAGGUUAGAAGCCAGGGUUAGGUGGUAGGGUUAAGAGCUAGGCUUAGGUUUAGGGUUAAGAGCUUGGGUUAGGUUUAGGAUUAGGUGCUAGGGUUAGGUUUAAGGUUAGGUUUAGGGUUAGUAGUGAGAGUUAGGAACCAGGGUUAGGUUUAGGGUUAGGUGCUAGGGUUAGGUGCUAGGGUUAGGUUUAGGGUUAAGAGCUAGGUUAGGUUUAGGGUUAGGUGCUAGGGUUAGGUUUAGGGUUAGGAGCUAGGGUUAGGUUUAGGGUUAGGUGC